This 646-nucleotide long non-coding RNA is filed under the name Phascolarctos cinereus (koala). RNAcentral's name for it is "lncRNA (ENSPCIG00000036041.1)". Lineage: Eukaryota; Metazoa; Chordata; Mammalia; Diprotodontia; Phascolarctidae. The record is from RNAcentral.
CUCCUUCCGUCAGUCCUCCCUCCAUCCCUCCACAGCCUGACCAUCCCACGCUCUCACACACCCAGGGGCUGAUGAGGAAGGAGCCACAAACCGGAGCUGGAAGUUAGUAAAUUGGCAGCGUUCCCACACUGGGUCCGGUACCUCGGCCGGCUGGGCUUGAACAUUCUCUGGGGUGUUGUUCUCAGUCGGAGGCGACGGAGACGAAAUCGCCGCCUGCCCAGGCCCUGGCUGGGAUAGCGGGAGCCCAGGCCCCGGGGCCGAGGGGCACGAGCAGGGCGUAGAGGGCCCAUCCAGGCCAACAGCUCCCAGCAACUACCUUCUCAGACUUUGCUGCAGCAGGGGACACAGAGGGGGUCUAUGACACGGGGCUGCCUACAUAAAGGAUGGGCGGGGAAAGUGACCCUGGCCUAUCCCCCCAAGUUACACUCCUCAACCUCUCCCAAGGUCAUCUUGGCCAGGCCCCUGCCUCAAGGUUGGAUUGUGCCCCCCUGGCCCUCUGGAGAAGCUUCCUGCCCCGCAACCCCAGGACCAGGGAAACUGAGGAAGCCGGUAGAAGAGAAGCGACCAGUCCUGGGUCACACCACUAGCGUGCCGCCCGACCUCUAUUUCCCCCUCCGCGCAACGGGUCGGUUGCUGAGUGCUGCCG